This 46-nucleotide non-coding RNA is filed under the name Trypanosoma brucei brucei. Lineage: Eukaryota; Euglenozoa; Kinetoplastea; Trypanosomatida; Trypanosomatidae. The record is from RNAcentral.
AAAUAAACGAUCAGAUGCGUCAUGUAUAGAAUAGAAGUGAUAAUUU